This 253-nucleotide ribosomal RNA is filed under the name uncultured bacterium. Its description in RNAcentral is "partial 16S ribosomal RNA". It matches the Rfam family "Bacterial small subunit ribosomal RNA", at positions 524 to 776 of the family's 1533-position model. The record is from RNAcentral.
UACGUAGGGUGCGAGCGUUAAUCGGAAUUACUGGGCGUAAAGCGUGCGCAGGCGGCGCGUUAAGACAGGUGUGAAAGCCCCGAGCUUAACUUGGGAAUUGCGCUUGUGACUGGCGUGCUGGAGUGUGGCAGAGGGAGGUGGAAUUCCACGUGUAGCAGUGAAAUGCGUAGAGAUGUGGAGGAACACCGAUGGCGAAGGCAGCCUCCUGGGCCAGCACUGAUGCUGAGGCGCGAAAGCUAGGGGAGCAAACAGG